RNAcentral lists this ribosomal RNA (254 nucleotides) under uncultured bacterium. RNAcentral describes it as "partial 16S ribosomal RNA". It matches the Rfam family "Bacterial small subunit ribosomal RNA", at positions 524 to 776 of the family's 1533-position model. The record is from RNAcentral.
UACGUAGGGGGCAAGCGUUGUCCGGAUUUAUUGGGCGUAAAGAGCGCGUAGGCGGUCCGAUAAGUCGGCUGUGAAAAUCAGGGGCUCAACCUUGAAAGCCGGCCGAUACUGUCGGACUAGAGUCCGGAAGAGGCAAGUGGAAUUCCCGGUGUAGCGGUGAAAUGCGCAGAUAUCAGGAAGAACACCCGUGGCGAAGGCGGACUUUCUGGGACGGUACUGACGCUGGAGACGCGAAAGCGUGGGGAGCGAACAGG